Molecule: non-coding RNA, 77 nt
Organism: Cordylochernes scorpioides
Lineage: Eukaryota; Metazoa; Arthropoda; Arachnida; Pseudoscorpiones; Chernetidae
Source: the annotation of a GenBank genome assembly
GUCCAGGCUAGCCUAGUGGACACAUGGCAUCUGCCCGGUGAGUGGAACACUGUGGGUUCGAUUCCCAUACCUAGACA